ACAAGACAAAGAACCGAGGAACAUACACUCGCGUGACAUCUAUGGUGCCGUGACUCGGAUUUAACCUGGCUGAAACAACCUCUGCAUGGAAGAGGCCAAGCACAGCAGGAGCCCAACUCAGCAAAGCUCCCGUGCUAGAAGCAGAAGGCGAAGAAACCCAGCGCAGGGGAAGGCCCAUUGUGCUGGAAACCGGGACAGCGAAAAACGAACUCAGCUCACGCGGCCCAGUCUCAGAUUCCAGAAGACCUCUGGUUAAGCCAACUUUGGGACCCAACCAAGUUGAAAAAGAAGACAGAAGUGCCACCUGACUUCUGAGCACACCCAAAGCCUACCUCGAUAUACUCCGACAGAUUCUUCACAGGGAUGAGCUGUCCACUAGGACUGGUCAGAGAGAGGCCACCCACAGUUCCACUGACGUCAAAGUGACUUCGGGCUGGAAAGGGGCUCUUGGGGAAGCUCAUCAUCUGAAACCAAGAACAGAGAGCCAAGGCGCCCAAGGGCCAGAAGGCUCCCGAUAGUCCUCCAUGGAGCCAAGGGAGGGGGCAGCGGGAAGGGAGAAGGUCGCAGAGCUGGCGGCAGCAACGUGUACGGAGGAGCCUCGCCAACUCCAGGGCUGUAUUCUGUCCACAAGAUCUUCCCCAUCCUUGGUCGCCAUCCUGGAGGCUGCCUGCAUGGAGAUGUCAGGCUGCUGGGCCUCUGGCCUGUGGAUUGACUUGCAGGAGAUGCGCAGGUGGGAGGAGACAGCAGGAAGCUUUGUUGCAGGCGCCCUCCCUGCCAGGGUUACCAGUCUCAUCCUUCAAAAACCACCACUCCUGCCAAGGAGCCCCCUCCACACACAGCUGCCCCUCCAGGAUGCUGGUCACUUCAGGAUGAGCCCCUGGGGUCCUGUGUCCUCUCUCGUUUGUUUCUGAAAACUUGCCUCCAGUUUUCUCAACAGAGCCUUUCUUAAAAUCUCCUCCAUUGCCCAAUGAGAGCUUGACAUCCGUCUCUCACCAGGACCCCAGUGUUUCAUGAGAAGACCUGGUGUCAGGCUAUGUAGUCCAUGUGCUUAGGAUCAUAGGGCAUCCAAAAGGAAGUUCCCUUCCAAAGGGAAGCAUGUAAGUCAUGCUCAGGGUGAAUGAGAGCCAGGUGGAGUUGUGUGCAUGUGUGUUGGGGCCAGGGGACUAAGUGGGGAGAAGGGCUGGGGUGAGAAGGCUGGAGGAGGGCAGGGGAAGAGACAACCCGGGUUUGCUCUUGUCUUCACUACCUACUGGAAAUGUGGACCUGGGAACGCUGCUCACAUCCUCUGCAGUGUGCUCAGUGUGCAGUGUGAUGGUUGGAUGGCAUCACCGACUCGAUGGACAUGAAUUUGAGUAAGCUCUGGGAGUUGGUGAUGGACAGGGAAGCCUGGUGUGCUGCAGUGCAUGGGGUCGCAUAGAGUCAGACACAACUGUGCAACUGAACUGAACAGGAAGAGACAGCAGUGGUAGCCUCUAAAUUCCCUCCCACCCUAGAAACCUGUGGUUCCAUGAAGCUGAGCAGAGAAAGGUUGCUUCAUUUUAUGUCACUCACUGAAAGUACUGAAAGAGAGACAUGACAUCAACUUGGGAGAUACCAAAGACUUCCCCAUGGACCCCACUCCCCUCCCCAGAUGGCUGCAUGCAGACCCCAGGACCCCAGCAAAAGGACAGAGGGGUCCAUCGGGAGCACCUUCCGUCUGGUGUCCACUCUCGGCAGCUGCCCGGAGCCCGGCCCCUGGUCCAGUACGGAUGACACGGCCCUGGCCAGCUGGAAGAGCCGCUCAGAGCCACGCCCGCCCUGCAGAAUGGCAGUGACAUUGUCCCACACCACGGCCUGGAAUGCUUCCUCCUCCACACAGGCUCAGACCCAGUCACAGACAUGCAUUCCACAACUAUUUGAAGGACACCCAUGAUCUGACGAUAGCUCCCCUCCACCUUCACCUUGUCAAGGUGUACAGUUUACAUCAUUGUGGUGUUUAAUGCUAGAUACUGGGGAGCCCCCAGCAACAUUCCUGGAGCCUCGGUUUGGAUGAUGGUCCCAGUCUGACUAGAACAUUUUCAAGAGCUCUUGGGAGGGUCAUAAAAUGCUGAAGUUCAUUAGGAAGAGACAAGGACUCAGAUAAGCCUGCCAAGGACCAGCCACCCUCAUUCCAGCUUUCAGAGAGAGACAGGUGCCUGCUCUUGGAGAGGAAUGAGCCCAGGAGUGAGGGGUGAGCGCGGUCCUGAGCCGGUACCUGACUCCAGGCAGAAGCAGUACUCCAGGGGGCCCAGGGCAGUGGAGGAAUUGCAGAAGAUGGCGAAGCUCGUCAGGAUGGUCCCCUCCUCUGGGGCAAUGGUGCAGGUGGGCACCUCCAGGGGAGGCAGGGAGCUGACCACAUAGGUGUCCUCCCCAUAGGCACACCUGGUCACUGCUGGGGAGUGAAGACAAAAGAUGUGCUUAGGGGCUGUGGGUGUCACACAAACUCCACCAUGGCUCAUGAUCUCCUGGGAACUUGUUUAACAUGCAGAUUCCCAGGCCUUGCUCCAGAGCCUCUCUCUGGAGAUUCGGGGGUAAGGCUCAGAAAUCUGCAUAUCUUAACUACUCCAACCCUACCCCUCAUGCCUCAGGCCGGACAUUCCAGGGUCUCAGCAAAAUUGGACAGACAGAAUCCUAGUCCUGCCAUUUACUCUCCAUGUGACCUUGGCUUUGACCUUUUGAGACUCAGUUCCUCAUCUGUAAAAUGGAGCUGAUAACAAUAGCUUCCUCACAGGGCUUUAGUGAGGAGGAAGAAUAUUGGAAAACAAGACUUUCUCAAGAGAUCAAGCUUGGAAGGACCACAGUCAGGACCUAGAAAGAGGAAGAUCCUACCCCAAACCAAGGGCUCCCACAGCACCAUGAAGAGCCCCAGCUAACCUGCACCAACACCCCAAACCGCCUGUUAUAAUCACCUAGUUUUCAAAAACAGUGCAUGCCUGGAAGAGUUGUGCAUACAGAAUUUUAAUCAAUUUAAAUGAAUUCCCUGGCCCAGACUUAAUUCAGAAGGUUUGGGGUGAACCCAGGAAUGUGUAAUUUAAAAUAGUACCAGGUUAUCCUGGGCGAGUGGCCUAUGAGCCACUUUGAGAAAUACUGAAUCAAAGGAAUUCAUCUGAAGAGGAAUAAUUACCCCAUUAUUUAUCUUUCUGAGAGCCUACAUUCUGCUGUCCGGAGCUUGUUUUCAGUGAGAAGCGCUGAAUCACCUGGCAGGACGCACAGACUACACACCCCGGGAUGGUCUGCCUUCACCACCCGUGUUGUGUCGCUCAGCCUGCACCAUUCAGUUCAGAGGCAGACAUUUCUAUUGCCCUGCUUGCAUGUGAGGAAACGGGCUUAAAUCUCCGGCCUAAGGUCUCCCAGCUAGAAGGUGGCGGUGGUGGGAUUCACGCCAGAGCCUGUGUAUGGCCCCACCCUGCACUGCCGGCCCUGUUUCAGCACCUCUGGCUUCCUCUCGGUUCACUCUGGAGGAGGUGGGGUCUGUGACAAGAGACUGGAGGAGCCUUCCCACCUGUGACUCUGAUCCGGGCGGCCUGGCCGCGGAUCCUCAGGAAGGAGCUGUUGAGCAUCAGGGUGGAGGUGUUGCUCUGAAGGAGGACUGAAGAACGCGGCCAGAAUCCUCGGAGUCUGCAGGCCUCAGGGAGGGGCUCGGCCUGAAAGAGAGCACAGCCCAGGACCUCUGAGGCUGCAGCCAGGCCACCAGACCCCGCCGGGCAGUGGCUUCUGAGCUAGGGAGACCUUUCGGAUUUGUCUCCGAUGGAUGGACAGCAGCACCAGCUCUUUCCCCGAGGCCAGUGCCCCCAGCCCCCAACUCCUACUCCAUGGGCUGAGUGGACUGACCCACCCCCAGCUCAGUCCUGGGCCUGUGACACAGGUCUGGUCAGUCAAAGUGGGAAGACAUUUCUGUUUUUGCGAGGCUGCCAGUAUCCUCACCUUCUCCAGCGGGGUGUCAUCCAAAUACCAGCUGAACAUGGCUGCUGCAGACCUGUCCCCCAUGGUGACCCUCAGCAUAACGUCCCUGCUGGCAUCCACUGGCCCGCAGUUCUCCUCACAGCUGAAAGGGAGACAGAGAACAGAGCUGGGAAGAUCCUUAGUCUGAGGAGCCACCUUGCCUGGUCCAGUUCUCAAGUUAUUUGAGAAGAUAGUGCCUCUUCUGGUUGCCUGCCUUCAAGGCCACUGCUCCCCGCACCUCCCAUUUCCAUGGAAUUCACCACCUCUGGCACAUACAAGGCACACAAAAUGUCAAGCAUGAAUAAUCCUGGUGUGAAGGUUAAGAACAGCAAAAGCUGACCGCUGUCCAUCGCUUCGUGAUGAGAUGAGACAGUUCAGAGCUCUAAGACCACCUACCACAUGCCCACUGGAAGCAAGAAAGCUGGUCAGUGAGACACACUCCACAGUUGGCACCCCACCUUCCACCCCAGAGCAGUCUGUGCAAGAGAUGGCCACAGUGUAAAGUGUGGAAUGGGAUGGAUCACCAGGGCGUGGACUGCAGUUUCCCGAAACACAUUCUCCUCUAGAAAUGAUGGAAGAGAUCCAAGUACGCCUGCUCACUUCCAGUGAUUCUCCAUGGGGGUGAUUCUGCUCUCCAGGGCGCAGUUGGCAGUGGCUGGAGACGUUUGUAGUCGUCAUGAUUUGGUGCUACUGGCAUCUAGUGGGUCAAGGCCAGGGAUGCUGCUAAACAUCCUGUGAGGCACAGGACUGUCCCCACAACAAAGAAUUAUCCGGUCCCAAAUGUCAGGAGGGGGUUCCCUGGCUCCUGGGAAAGGUUGAGGGCAGGAGAAGGGGGUGGCAGAGAAUAAAUUGGUUGGAUGGCAUCACUGACUCAAUGGACGUGAGUUUGCAUAAUCUCCAGACAGUGAGGAUAGGGAAGCCUGGCGUGCUGCAGUCCAUGGGGUCACAGAGAGUCGGACAUGAUCAAGCAACUGAACAACAGGAUGUCAGAAGUGCCGGAGUUGAGAAUCCCUAUAACUACAAGCUCCAUGACUGAAGAUGGCCUCUGUGUCUUCCUUAUUUUGUGACCUCAGCUGGAUGCUGUGAACCACGUUUGUGUAUUGGACAUAUGGAGAAACUGGCUAAGAGGACCCUAGACACCAAGUUGGGAAGGGAAGAUGAGGGAGGUUUGGAAGGGGAGCCACACACCCCAAAUACCUUCAAGAGGAACCGCCACAUGACUCACCUCCAUCAAGCUCCACCUGAAUCCACAGAGGGUCCCCGAAGACUGCCCGGCAGAGAGGGCUGGCUCCUGACGUGGUCAUGCCAGAGCACCCAGUCACACGGAGCCUCUCUGUGUUGUCUUGAAUCGUCAC
Long non-coding RNA from Bubalus bubalis (water buffalo), 5315 nucleotides. RefSeq lists it as uncharacterized. The record is from RefSeq and is a predicted model, not a curated record. The transcript has 11 exons. Lineage: Eukaryota; Metazoa; Chordata; Mammalia; Artiodactyla; Bovidae.